Molecule: long non-coding RNA, 672 nt
Filed under: Androctonus crassicauda
Lineage: Eukaryota; Metazoa; Arthropoda; Arachnida; Scorpiones; Buthidae
Source: RNAcentral
UAGAAUCGGACACAAAAAAGGACACUUCUAUAUGUCCAAGCAUUAGUUCAAAGGCUAGAACCCAUUGAAUUGCAUUGAUCAGUCAUAAAAUUUUACUAAUUACAUCACCAUUGUAAGUAUGCGUAGUCAUAAAUUGAAGACUUUUUGUAUAAAUCACUGUUGUCACUGUUUUCUGCAAAGAAAAAGGGCCCCAAAAACUUCUGAAUGUGACAAAGCACAUCAGAAUGUUCAUCUUUGGAUACUUAAAUGGCAUGAAGAUUUUCUAAUAUCCAUAGCCUGCAUUUAUGAAGAUUAUCCUCUUUCAUAUGUAAAACAUUGCUUCAUCAUUAAAUCUCAAUCUCCAAAGAUAAUUUUCAUCAGCUUCAAUUUUAAAUAAAAUGUGUUGGGCAAAUUUGGAAAUGGCAGGGUUUAUAAAGUUCUGGCUAUAAAGUUUGCACAAUCUGUAAUUCGUAGGCACAGACUUAGAUAGUUAUGAAUAAUUCUCCAAAUAGUCAUUUAUGGUAUACUUAACUGCAGAUAACUUCUAGUUGAUAUUUGUGGGUUUGAGAAAAUGCUUUUUGGAUUCAUUCAUCUUCCUAUGUGUGUUCAGUUAUCUCACUCAUUUUUGAUGCUGUACACUACAGUUUCUUGAAAUUACUUUAACCAACAUCAGAUGUCAUUAUUUAAUGGUGG